RNAcentral lists this ribosomal RNA (492 nucleotides) under uncultured bacterium. Its description in RNAcentral is "partial 16S ribosomal RNA". It matches the Rfam family "Bacterial small subunit ribosomal RNA", at positions 29 to 507 of the family's 1533-position model. The record is from RNAcentral.
AGUGAACGCUGGCGGUAGGCCUAACACAUGCAAGUCGAACGGCAGCACAGUAAGAGCUUGCUCUUACGGGUGGCGAGUGGCGGACGGGUGAGGAAUACAUCGGAAUCUACUUUUUCGUGGGGGAUAACGUAGGGAAACUUACGCUAAUACCGCAUACGACCUACGGGUGAAAGCAGUGGAUCUUCGGACCUUUCGCGAUUGAAUGAGCCGAUGUCGGAUUAGCUAGUUGGCGGGGUAAAGGCCCACCAAGGCGACGAUCCGUAGCUGGUCUGAGAGGAUGAUCAGCCACACUGGAACUGAGACACGGUCCAGACUCCUACGGGAGGCAGCAGUGGGGAAUAUUGGACAAUGGGCGCAAGCCUGAUCCAGCCAUACCGCGUGGGUGAAGAAGGCCUUCGGAUUGUAAAGCCCUUUUGUUGGGAAAGAAAAGCAGCAGGUUAAUACCCCGAUGUUCUGACGGUACCCAAAGAAUAAGCAACGGCUAACUUCGUG